This 374-nucleotide ribosomal RNA is filed under the name uncultured eukaryote. RNAcentral describes it as "SSU rRNA". It matches the Rfam family "Eukaryotic small subunit ribosomal RNA", at positions 587 to 972 of the family's 1831-position model. The record is from RNAcentral.
AGCUCCAAUAGCGUAUAUUAAAGUUGUUGCAGUUAAAAAGCUCGUAGUUGAAUUUCUGGCCAGCGCUGUUCUCGGCUCUCGCAGUCGGUUCAGUGUUUGGUCAUCCGUAUGGGAAGCUAGCUCGGCCUUCACUGGUCGGCUAGUGGAUCAUACACUUUACUUUGAAAAAAUUAGAGUGUUUCAGGCAGGCAAUUGCUUGGAUACUUCAGCAUGGAAUAAUGGAAUAGGACUUUGACCUAUUUGUUGGUUUCUUCGAGGUCAAGGUAAUGAUUAAUAGGGACAGUUGGGGGCAUUCAUAUUUAAUUGUCAGAGGUGAAAUUCUUGGAUUUAUUAAAGAUGAACUUAUGCGAAAGCAUUUGCCAAGGAUGUUUUCA